AGAGUUUGAUCCUGGCUCAGAUUGAACGCUGGCGGCAUGCCUUACACAUGCAAGUCGAACGGCAGCAUGAUCUAGCUUGCUAGAUUGAUGGCGAGUGGCGAACGGGUGAGUAAUACAUCGGAACGUGCCCUGUAGUGGGGGAUAACUAGUCGAAAGAUUAGCUAAUACCGCAUACGACCUGAGGGUGAAAGUGGGGGACCGCAAGGCCUCAUGCUAUAGGAGCGGCCGAUGUCUGAUUAGCUAGUUGGUGAGGUAAAGGCUCACCAAGGCGACGAUCAGUAGCUGGUCUGAGAGGACGAUCAGCCACACUGGGACUGAGACACGGCCCAGACUCCUACGGGAGGUAGCAGUGGGGAAUUUUGGACAAUGGGCGAAAGCCUGAUCCAGCAAUGCCGCGUGUGUGAAGAAGGCCUCCGGGUUGUAAAGCACUUUUGUCCGGAAAGAAAUGGCUCUGGUUAAUACCUGGGGUCGAUGACGGUACCGGAAGAAUAAGGACCGGCUAACUACGUGCCAGCAGCCGCGGUAAUACGUAGGGUCCAAGCGUUAAUCGGAAUUACUGGGCGUAAAGCGUGCGCAGGCGGUUGUGCAAGACCGAUGUGAAAUCCCCGAGCUUAACUUGGGAAUUGCAUUGGUGACUGCACGGCUAGAGUGUGUCAGAGGGGGGUAGAAUUCCACGUGUAGCAGUGAAAUGCGUAGAGAUGUGGAGGAAUACCGAUGGCGAAGGCAGCCCCCUGGGAUAACACUGACGCUCAUGCACGAAAGCGUGGGGAGCAAACAGGAUUAGAUACCCUGGUAGUCCACGCCCUAAACGAUGUCAACUAGUUGUUGGGGAUUCAUUUCCUUAGUAACGUAGCUAACGCGUGAAGUUGACCGCCUGGGGAGUACGGUCGCAAGAUUAAAACUCAAAGGAAUUGACGG
RNAcentral lists this ribosomal RNA (918 nucleotides) under uncultured bacterium. Its description in RNAcentral is "bacterial SSU rRNA". It matches the Rfam family "Bacterial small subunit ribosomal RNA", at positions 8 to 916 of the family's 1533-position model. The record is from RNAcentral.